CGAGCGAAGCGGGAAGAGCUCAAAUUUGUAAUCUGGUACCUUCGGUGCCCGAGUUGUAAUCUCGAGAAGUGUUUUCCGUGCCAGACCGCAUACAAGUCUGUUGGAAUACAGCGUCAUAGUGGUGAGAACCCCGUAGAUGAUGCGGAUGCCUGGUGCUCUGUGAUACACUUUCGAAGAGUCGAGUUGUUUGGGAAUGCAGCUCAAAUUGGGUGGUAAAUUCCAUCUAAAGCUAAAUAUUGGCGAGAGACCGAUAGCGAACAAGUACCGUGAGGGAAAGAUGAAAAGCACUUUGGAAAGAGAGUUAACAGUACGUGAAAUUGUUGGAAGGGAAACGCUUGAAGUCAGACUUGCUAUUUGGAGUUCAGCCGCAAGGUGUAUUCUUCAAUUUGCAGGCCAGCAUCAGUUUUUGGGGGCAGAAAAGGGUUUUGAGAAGGUAGCAACUCUUGGGUUGUGUUAUAGCUCUUUACUGGAUCUGUCCCUGGGGACUGAGGAACGCAGUACACUUUUUGCAAGACCCUCGGGUCUUUUUGUACUUAGG
RNAcentral lists this ribosomal RNA (538 nucleotides) under Pucciniomycotina sp. RP. RNAcentral's name for it is "LSU rRNA". It matches the Rfam family "Eukaryotic large subunit ribosomal RNA", at positions 90 to 622 of the family's 3401-position model. The record is from RNAcentral. Lineage: Eukaryota; Fungi; Basidiomycota.